Molecule: long non-coding RNA, 395 nt
Organism: Passer domesticus (house sparrow)
Lineage: Eukaryota; Metazoa; Chordata; Aves; Passeriformes; Passeridae
Exons: 3
Source: RefSeq, a predicted model, not a curated record
GGAAGAAGGGGACAUUUGAUGUGAUGGUGUUUGUCUUCCCAAGUCACCAUUAAGUAGGGCCGUUCUCUCCUGGAAUGGCUGAACAUGCCCCCUGCCCAUGGGAAGCAGUGAAUUGAUUCCUUGGUUUUGCUUUGCUUGCAGAAUAGUAAGAACAAUCAAGAACUGAGCCAACACUUUGACUAGAAGAUUUCUACUGAAAUUUUAGGAACAUCUAAAGCCAGGUUGAACUUUCCAUGAUGUCAGAUACCUCCAACAGUGUAUUUGAUCACAUAGUCACAGUGAGCUACUUUACACAGCAGCCAUGAAAGCAGAAUCUUCAGAUGCAACAGCAGAACAAACACUGCUAUGUGUGACUUAAUAUUCAGCUACACUGCUGCCAGGGGAUGGCACCUCCA